Molecule: ribosomal RNA, 605 nt
Filed under: Escherichia coli
Lineage: Bacteria; Pseudomonadati; Pseudomonadota; Gammaproteobacteria; Enterobacterales; Enterobacteriaceae
Description: partial 23S ribosomal RNA
Rfam family: Bacterial large subunit ribosomal RNA
Source: RNAcentral
AGCCCAGAGCCUGAAUCAGUGUGUGUGUUAGUGGAAGCGUCUGGAAAGGCGCGCGAUACAGGGUGACAGCCCCGUACACAAAAAUGCACAUGCUGUGAGCUCGAUGAGUAGGGCGGGACACGUGGUAUCCUGUCUGAAUAUGGGGGGACCAUCCUCCAAGGCUAAAUACUCCUGACUGACCGAUAGUGAACCAGUACCGUGAGGGAAAGGCGAAAAGAACCCCGGCGAGGGGAGUGAAAAAGAACCUGAAACCGUGUACGUACAAGCAGUGGGAGCACGCUUAGGCGUGUGACUGCGUACCUUUUGUAUAAUGGGUCAGCGACUUAUAUUCUGUAGCAAGGUUAACCGAAUAGGGGAGCCGAAGGGAAACCGAGUCUUAACUGGGCGUUAAGUUGCAGGGUAUAGACCCGAAACCCGGUGAUCUAGCCAUGGGCAGGUUGAAGGUUGGGUAACACUAACUGGAGGACCGAACCGACUAAUGUUGAAAAAUUAGCGGAUGACUUGUGGCUGGGGGUGAAAGGCCAAUCAAACCGGGAGAUAGCUGGUUCUCCCCGAAAGCUAUUUAGGUAGCGCCUCGUGAAUUCAUCUCCGGGGGUAGAGCACUG